UACGUAGGGGGCAAGCGUUGUCCGGAUUUAUUGGGCGUAAAGAGCGUGUAGGCGGCCAGGUAGGUCAGCUGUGAAAACUCGAGGCUCAACCUCGAGACGUCGGUUGAAACCACCUGGCUAGAGUCCGGAAGAGGAGAGUGGAAUUCCCGGUGUAGCGGUGAAAUGCGCAGAUAUCGGGAGGAACACCAAUGGCGAAGGCAGCUCGCUGGGACGGUACUGACGCUGAGACGCGAAAGCGUGGGGAGCAAACAGG
RNAcentral lists this ribosomal RNA (253 nucleotides) under uncultured bacterium. RNAcentral's name for it is "partial 16S ribosomal RNA". It matches the Rfam family "Bacterial small subunit ribosomal RNA", at positions 524 to 776 of the family's 1533-position model. The record is from RNAcentral.